This 279-nucleotide ribosomal RNA is filed under the name uncultured bacterium. Its description in RNAcentral is "partial 16S ribosomal RNA". It matches the Rfam family "Bacterial small subunit ribosomal RNA", at positions 506 to 784 of the family's 1533-position model. The record is from RNAcentral.
UGCCAGCAGCCGCGGUAAUACGGAGGGGGCUAGCGUUGUUCGGAAUUACUGGGCGUAAAGCGCGCGUAGGCGGUGUGCAUAGUCAGAGGUGAAAGCCCGGGGCUCAACCCCGGAACUGCCUUUGAUACUGGCAUGCUAGAAUCCGUGAGAGGGUAGUGGAAUUCCUAGUGUAGAGGUGAAAUUCGUAGAUAUUAGGAAGAGCACCAGUGGCGAAGGCGACUACCUGGCACGGCAUUGACGCUGAUGUGCGAAAGCGUGGGGAGCGAACAGGAUUAGAUA